RNAcentral lists this ribosomal RNA (253 nucleotides) under uncultured bacterium. RNAcentral describes it as "partial 16S ribosomal RNA". It matches the Rfam family "Bacterial small subunit ribosomal RNA", at positions 524 to 776 of the family's 1533-position model. The record is from RNAcentral.
UACGUAGGGUGCGAGCGUUGUCCGGAAUUAUUGGGCGUAAAGGGCUCGUAGGCGGUUUGUCGCGUCGGGAGUGAAAACCCAGGGCUUAACCCUGGGCUGGCUUCCGAUACGGGCAGACUAGAGGUAUGCAGGGGAGAACGGAAUUCCUGGUGUAGCGGUGAAAUGUGUAGAGAUCGGGAGGAACAUCGGUGGCGAAGGCGGGUCUCUGGGCAAUUCCUGACGCUGAGGCGCGAAAGCGUGGGGAGCAAACGGG